RNAcentral lists this ribosomal RNA (253 nucleotides) under uncultured bacterium. RNAcentral describes it as "partial 16S ribosomal RNA". It matches the Rfam family "Bacterial small subunit ribosomal RNA", at positions 524 to 776 of the family's 1533-position model. The record is from RNAcentral.
UACGGAGGGGGCUAGCGUUGUUCGGAUUUACUGGGCGUAAAGGGCGCGUAGGCGGCUUGACAAGUCACUUGUGAAAUCUCCGGGCUUAACUCGGAACGGCCAAGUGAAACUGUCAUGCUAGAGUGCAGAAGGGGCAAUCGGAAUUCUUGGUGUAGCGGUGAAAUGCGUAGAUAUCUGGAGGAACACCGGUGGCGAAGGCGGCAUCCUGGACCAAUUCUGACGCUGAGGAGCGAAAGCCAGGGGAGCAAACGGG